UUUUUAAUUUAGCUUUAAUAUAUAUACGAUUUUCUUUACGUGCAUACUUUUAAAGUAAUCAAGUUUAAUAAUUAACAAUAUUAAACUUGGCCCUGAUUUCUUAAUAUGGCAAAAACUAAAGGAUACACAUGGUAUUUAUAGAAAUAGGCGAGGUGAAGAAAAUUAUAUCCUAAGUUUAGAACAUAAGUUUAUUAUUUUCCUUAAGGUAUUAUAGAAUAAAAAAUGCCUUGAAAAGUCCCGCUAACACCAGUGUUGAAGGUUAACAAAAAAGUGAAAGCUUGUAUUAAUUCAGUAAAUUAAGUUUGGUUAACUUGGUGCCAGCAUCCGCGGUUACACCAAGAAAUUAAGUCAUAUCUACACGGUAAAAGGCGGUUAAACUAGGCACUUCAAGCUAUAAGAUAAUUUAUAAAAAGGUAAAAUUUGAACAUAAAUUUAUAUAUUAACAAUAACUUAUAUAGUUGAAUCCGCGAGAGCCCUGAGGGAAACUGGGAUUAGAUACCCCAUUAUUCUAGGCCAUAAAUUUGAUCAAAAUCUACCAGAGUACUACGAAUACCAUAAAAUUUAAAACUCAAAGGGCUUGGCGGUGUUUUAGACCGCUCAGGGGAACCUGUCUCGUAAUCGACAAUCCACGAUAAACCUAACCUUUCCUUGCUUCAGUUUGUAUACCGUCGUCGUCAGGUAACUUUUAAAAAGCCAGAAGUUAGCCAGAAAACACUAUAAGUUAAAACGUCAGAUCAAGGUGCAGCUUACGAAAAGGUGUAGAUGGGUUACAUUUAUCUAAUUAUAACUACGGAAAAUUAUUACAAUAAAUAAUUUAAAGGAGGACUUGAAAGUAAAUUAAAUUAUAUAAAUGAUUUGAAUAAGGCUCUGAAACGUGCACACAUCGCCCGUCGCUCUCGUUGAAAAAUGAGAUAAGUCGUAACAUAGCAGGGUUAAUGGAAAUUGACCCUAGAUG
This 955-nucleotide non-coding RNA is filed under the name Cochlespira sp. MNHN IM 2013-19079. The record is from RNAcentral. Lineage: Eukaryota; Metazoa; Mollusca; Gastropoda; Neogastropoda; Turridae.